AGCAAUCUCUCAUUCACGAGGAGCCGCUUACUCUUGAAAGCCCAGCUGUCUUGCAAGAGGUGCCGCACAGGGUAGGAAGAGUUGGGAGCGAACAGCCUGAGGAAGUGGACUGUGGAAGCUGAAGGUUGUCCAGCCAAAGCUGAGUGUGUGGCUCUGACACUGACCAAGGCUGGAAAGAGUUACUGUGUGGACAGAGAAUGUUAGAGCCAGGUGAGCUUUCACAGGAUGAAAGGAGCGAGGAGAGAAUCGAAUGGAAAGAAUUGCUGAGAUCAGGUUUGAGCCCUUUCUUUGGGUUUGGGAUUUGUUUUGGUUUUUUUGUUACCCAACACUGCUUAGCAUUACUACUGUGAGAUUUAAAGUUUUCUCCAAAAACUCAGAAUUAAUUUCCCCACUCUGCCCCACUGGUAGGCACCGCAUCUCUUAGAAAAGCUCCUACCCACCAUCUUCACUGCCCCAGUUUGAAGUAGUGCUCCAGUUUAGCCCGUAGUAAUGGGUCUUACAUCCCUUUCUGUUCAGGUAACUACACCAUUUUGUUAUUGACAUAUCUGCCAGAGGAGCCUACAUUACUCCAGUGUAAUUUGUGAGGCAGUUUCUGCUCUAACAAGUUUUUGAAUGCUGCUCAACUGCAAGAGAGCUCCUUCUGGAUGUUUGAAGGUGACAGAAGAGAUGGUCGCAUCCCAGGAGCUUGAUUUUGGAAUGUUUAAUGGAAUUGGCCCAGUAGCUUUUACUUGUGGGCUUUGCAAGUCUGCCCACAGCAGGUCCAGCCUGUGCUUCAACUUAGAGCCCUCAGUGGGCAGGGAAAUGGACCUUGGAGAGAUUGUUACAGCUCUACUUAACGCUUUCUGAAUUGGGAUGAUUUUCUGGAAGUAGGCUGUCCAUUCUGACCCAUUUUCUUCUCUCUCCUUGCAGACUGUAGCUGCUAAAAGGCUGAGGUGAGACCAGGAUCUGCAAAAUCUCUGACUCUCCAUGUCUUCCCAAGGCUGAAGCCGUGUUUGCUGUCAAUGACAACCCAGUGGAAGAUGCUAAAGACUGAAAACUUUGGGGUUUUUCCCCUGAAUCCCAUGACACUCUCUGCAGCUGUGCCCUGCAUAUCUCUUAAAAGAGUUUCCGGCUUUAGAAGGGUUUUACCCUGUGCAAUAUUGAUCUAUAAGUCAAUGAAAAAGAAUCUUACUGUAUCAAUGUGAUGUUACUUGGUUUGAGUUGUUUAAUUAAAGCAUAUCAUUGAUAAGGGGUUUGAGAAUCCCUUGGACGGCCCUUGGGGCUGGCAGCUCUGAUUUAUUUUCUCUUCA
Molecule: long non-coding RNA, 1289 nt
Organism: Prinia subflava (tawny-flanked prinia)
Lineage: Eukaryota; Metazoa; Chordata; Aves; Passeriformes; Cisticolidae
Exons: 2
Source: RefSeq, a predicted model, not a curated record